Crotalus tigris (Tiger rattlesnake) is the source of this 444-nucleotide long non-coding RNA. RefSeq lists it as uncharacterized. NCBI's taxonomy places the organism in Eukaryota, Metazoa, Chordata, Lepidosauria, Squamata, Viperidae. The record is from RefSeq and is a predicted model, not a curated record. The transcript has 3 exons.
CUGGAAUGUUUACCUGGCAGUAGGAUAGGCUCCAGUUUCUUAAGUCGAGGUUCCGGAAUGAUCUUGUCUUCAGCCUGAAAAACAGGAGGAGAAGGGCAAAUAUGCAACAACACAUCAAAUCGGCCGAGUCCAGGAGAAGCUCUUCUCGAAGUCACAGAUGAACACAGCAAUGUUUGCAACAGAAUGGACAUAAGAACAGAGAGAAUGAAAAAGAGAGAAAAUUGCAAGCAAAAAAACCCCCUCUGAAUUCCUUCCUGAAUUGGCUGGGGAAUUCUGGGAGUUGAAGUCCACCCAUGUUGAAAUUGUUGAGAGUCCUCAAGUUGGAAGAGGAGAUGGAAACCAUCAGGUUGGCUCCACUGCUCAAUUCAGGAUCCGGUUGAAAGCCUCUCUAGCAAACCAGCUAUCUAGCCUGUGCUGGAGAACCUCCAAUGAAGUGGAUUCUCC